GAGUUUGAUCCUGGCUCAGGAUGAACGCUAGCGGCAGGCCUAACACAUGCAAGUCGAGGGGUAACAGGGAGAAGCUUGCUUUUCCGCUGACGACCGGCGCACGGGUGCGUAACGCGUAUACAAUCUGCCUUUAAGCGGGGAAUAGCCCAUGGAAACGUGGAUUAAUACCCCAUAGUAUGUAGAUCUCUCCUGAGAAUUACAUUAAACAUUUAUGGCUUAAAGAUGAGUAUGCGUCCUAUUAGUUAGUUGGUGAGGUAACGGCUUACCAAGACGGCGAUAGGUAGGGGUCCUGAGAGGGAGAUCCCCCACACUGGUACUGAGACACGGACCAGACUCCUACGGGAGGCAGCAGUGAGGAAUAUUGGACAAUGGAGGCAACUCUGAUCCAGCCAUGCCGCGUGCAGGAAGACGGCCCUAUGGGUUGUAAACUGCUUUUAUACGGGAAGAACCACAUCUACGUGUAGAUGCUUGACGGUACCGUAUGAAUAAGGACCGGCUAACUCCGUGCCAGCAGCCGCGGUAAUACGGAGGGUCCAAGCGUUAUCCGGAAUCAUUGGGUUUAAAGGGUCCGUAGGCGGAAUAAUAAGUCAGUGGUGAAAGUCUGCAGCUUAACUGUAGAAUUGCCAUUGAUACUGCUGUUCUUGAAUUAUUAUGAAGUGGUUGGAAUAAGUAGUGUAGCGGUGAAAUGCAUAGAUAUUACUUAGAACACCUAUUGCGAAGGCAGAUCACUAAUAAUAUAUUGACGCUGAGGGACGAAAGCGUAGGUAGCGAACAGGAUUAGAUACCCUGGUAGUCUACGCCGUAAACGAUGGUUACUAGCUGUCCGGCCUAAUUGAGGGCUGGGUGGUUAAGCGAAAGUGAUAAGUAACCCACCUGGGGAGUACGUUCGCAAGAAUGAAACUCAAAGGAAUGACGG
Molecule: ribosomal RNA, 916 nt
Filed under: uncultured bacterium
Lineage: Bacteria
Description: bacterial SSU rRNA
Rfam family: Bacterial small subunit ribosomal RNA
Source: RNAcentral